RNAcentral lists this ribosomal RNA (484 nucleotides) under uncultured bacterium. Its description in RNAcentral is "partial 16S ribosomal RNA". It matches the Rfam family "Bacterial small subunit ribosomal RNA", at positions 30 to 507 of the family's 1533-position model. The record is from RNAcentral.
AUUGAACGCUGGCAGAAUGCUUUACACAUGCCAGUCGAACGGCAGCACGGGGGCAACCCUGGUGGCGAGUGGCGAACGGGUGAGUAAUACAUCGGAACGUGCCCGGUCGUGGGGGAUAACGUAGCGAAAGUUACGCUAAUACCGCAUACGAUCUGAGGAUGAAAGCGGGGGACCUUCGGGCCUCGCGCGAUCGGAGCGGCCGAUGUCAGAUUAGGUAGUUGGUGGGGUAAAGGCCUACCAAGCCGACGAUCUGUAGCUGGUCUGAGAGGACGACCAGCCACACUGGGACUGAGACACGGCCCAGACUCCUACGGGAGGCAGCAGUGGGGAAUUUUGGACAAUGGGCGCAAGCCUGAUCCAGCCAUUCCGCGUGCAGGACGAAGGCCUUCGGGUUGUAAACUGCUUUUGUAUGGAACGAAAAGGCUCUGGCUAAUACCUGGGGCUCAUGACGGUACCGUAAGAAUAAGCACCGGCUAACUACGUG